RNAcentral lists this unclassified non-coding RNA (212 nucleotides) under Hevea brasiliensis (rubber tree). The record is from RNAcentral. Lineage: Eukaryota; Viridiplantae; Streptophyta; Magnoliopsida; Malpighiales; Euphorbiaceae.
CGAAAAGAUUGAUUGAAGAUCGAAAAAACUAUUACGCUUCUGAGGCCUCGAAAUCUUGGUUGUACCAGAAAGUUGGGUUUAAGCGCACUGUCAUGUCAGCUAGUGAUUAUAAUGCAGUUGUUCCUAUCAAGAAGAGGAGGUUUCCUUUAAUCCAAUCUUCUCCACCCAAAGAAAUAUCUUCUCUUCCAUCACUAGAUGAUAACAUAGUAAAG